Molecule: non-coding RNA, 3386 nt
Organism: Chlorocebus sabaeus (green monkey)
Lineage: Eukaryota; Metazoa; Chordata; Mammalia; Primates; Cercopithecidae
Source: RefSeq, a predicted model, not a curated record
UUCUCUCCCUCAAAAUGGCUCAGAUACUCAAGAAUUUGUUGGAAGGAAACCGGGGGGUUUUGUAAGAGCUCUCCCCUAAAAAUGUUAAACAGCAAACACAUAAGAGUGACAAGUGAUUAGAUGUGACAUUUGAGACCACAAUGAUGAAGCAACCAUGAGAAGACAAUGAUGAUGAAAUCAAUAGCUAAUACGUAUUGAAUGCUAUUGAGAGGCCAGGCACUGUUGUAAACACUUUGCACCAAUUAAUACAUUUAAUCUUCAUAAUAAUGCUGUGAGAUAGCUUUAUUACCAUUUUACAGAUGGAGAAACUGAGGCGUGACACAGUGAAAUAGUUUGUCCAAGGUCACACAAAGCCAGUAUACAGGCAACUUGGAUUUAAACCCAGAUAACAUGACUCCAAAGCUUAAUGCUCUUCACACACACACACCUUGGGGCUCUUAAAGGAUAUGGAGUGUUUCUUAUCUAUUAGGCUCACAGUGGAUGCUCAAGAAAUGGUUAAUAGGUAUAACUGAGGAAACAAUGUCAGUGACAUCAUAACAUCAUUAUGACAUCAGCCAAACCUUCUAUCAUAGCAAAGUAAGUCUCUUAGUGCUUUCUUAAAACCAUCUUCAUUUAAAAAGAUGGCCUUCUUUUUCCUAGUUCUGUAUUGUAAAGGCACUUUAAAUCCAGAAAUGUAAAGCAUUAUCACAUGUAUGCUCAUGCUUUUUAAAUGACAAAGCACAGGUAUUUCGAUGAAUCCUCUCAUAACAAAAUGACAUAGUAGCAGUAAACUACGUGUAGUGGAAACAAAAUCUGGGCAUUAUUGGGCUACUUCAUCUUUGUGGUACCAGUUGCUUGGGAGAGCAGAGAAAGGACACAGAAUGGGAGAAAAGAAAGCUACUCUCAUUAUCCCAUAAGUAUAUAUGUGGAAGCCAGUCUAUCCAUACUUACAACUGUUUGAUACCACGUCAUGCUUCCUUAAGCAUGACGUUGUUCUUCUGGUGUUGUUCUUCUGUCCAGGCUGCAAAGCAGUGGUGUGAUGACAGCUCACUGUGACCUUAAAACUCCUGUAAUCAAGCAGUCCCUCCCCACUCAGCCUCCUGAAUAGCUAGGACUGCAGGUGUGUGCCUACAACUGGGUAAUUUUUUUUUUUUUUUAAACAGAGUUUUGCUAUGUUGCCCAGGCUGGUCUUGAACUCCUGGCCUCAAGCAAUCCUCCUGCCUCUGCCUCCCAAAGUACAGACAUGAGCCACUACACCUGGCCCUUCCUUAAUUAUAAAUCUUCCAAAGAUCCUUCAGUGUUCCACAGAAUUUCAAUACAAAUUUCAUGAUUAAAAAGAAAUCAAAUGAAAGAUAAAAUCCCUGCAAACUAGUAAAAAUUUACCACCCCAUUCCAAACCUACUUUCUCUUGCAAAUUGUUAUUGGAAUAUGCCUCUGUGCUUUGGCUUUCAGUUAAGGUAGCACAUAUAUCAGAGGAGAUAUAUUUUGUUGCAAGUCAGAAACCUUAUCACUCAUUCCACACCAGAAUUAUAUCUGUAAUGUUCCUUUUUAAAACAACAACAUAUCUUACUACUCUCACCUGAGAUAAAGAACAAAAUCUGAAGCACAAUCCAUAUCACAGCCCUUCACUUGCAUCAGUGUCCAUACACUCCAAAUCAAAUUGAUCUGUAUUACCUUUUUAAUCACAAGAUAGGAUUCUAAUCACAGGGCCAGUGAGACUGUUCCAUUUCUUAUCUAGAAGUUAGAAUAUCUGAAGCCAUCCUCCCUCCUUACAAACCAUAAUUGUCUGUCAAGGCUCAGUGCAGAGAACAAAAACUCUCUUAACUAUUUCAAGGCAUAUAUUGCUGUAAAUUAGUGCUUUCAAAAUUGGUAGGUAGGCUGUAAAAGUAAUGAGAACACUUCUGGACUAGUGACUUCAACGUAAACUCCCAUAACUAUGAUCCAGGGAUAGAGAAAUAAUGGUUGCUGAAACCAAUGAUGCUACCAGCAGUACUACCUCAAAGCCACAGAAUCUGAAACUAGACAUGGGAACAUGGAGUCCAGCUGCAGCAAGUAUGACAGAACUCAACUGUCCACUUUACCUACAAUAACACCCAGUACACUACAUACACACACGCAAAGGCACAAGCAGGGAUGCACACAGCUACAUGAGUAGUACUCAUUACAUAAUUAGUGUUCAUCAUUUAGGAUUCAUUUCAAAAAUCACAUCCAGGUAAGCCUGCUCUGAUCUCUUAUAGUAUGUUGUUUCUUGGUUAUGUCCUCAUAGCACUUGUAAACAAUUAUUUCUAAUUUACUUGCUAUCCAUCUUUCUUGUCAGAUAACAUCCCUGUGAGAAAAAGAUCACAUUUGUUUUGUUCAUUAUUACAAUGGUUAUCAAUAUGUGCUUUCUGGACGGUGAGAACACAUGAAAAAUGCAAAUUCAAAUCAACUCAUACAGAAACUCUAUAAGAUUCAGACUUAGCAAUCUGUGCUUUAAUAAACCCUCCUAGUGAUUUUGACACACCACUAAGCUCAGAACUACUGGAUUCCUGUAUCCCAUCCCUGUGUAAUACACGAGUGAUGCUCAGUAAAUUUUCUUGGAAUGUAUUUAAUUAAGCCUACUGGAAACUGACUGAAUAAUCCUCAUCAAAAUACUGCUAUUCUUAGUACAAAGAGCAGGUGAUUUUUCUCUAGGUUUGCUAGUCUCCAACUAAAGGCUAUGCUAAGGCUAAUCUUAGUGAAAUUUUUUUACAAGAAAUAGUCACAGUAAAAGAGUUUGUGAUAUACAAAAUGAUUUUAUUAGAUGCCAAAACUUUUAUUAACAUCACUAUUUCUUUUGCAGCUUUAAUUUUCAACAUUAUAACACUUACUGGCUCCUCUGGGUGACUAAAUAUCUUCACAUGUCCACUAGCUAAAAAGAAUUUCUAAGUAUAACUCAACUGAAACUGCAAGCUACUGCUCUAAGAAAUGCAUAUUUUAUUAUGUUUAUUUGCUCUCCUGUAGAAUCCAGUUUACAAAUAGCAUGACUGCAAAGAUUUACACAUAAUUCCUAAAUCCUUCAGGUUGUUCUACCAUUAAUCUUCUGAUGUGUAGCAAGAUAAACACUCUUAGUGAACACUUUGCUACAUCUCUUAAAUGAGAUUUCUCUCUAUUUUGAGUUCUCUGCUGUAGAAUAAGGGAUACACUUGGAACUGAAGACUUCCCUCAAUUUCUAAAUUUUCUACAUUCAUACAGCUUCUCUCCUGUAGGAGUUUGUAAAAGAUUCCUAUUGCCUACUCUUUCCCACAUUUGCUACAUGUACAGGGUUUUUUUCCUAGUGUGAGUACACUUAUGCCAAUUAAGGGAUUAAUACUGACAAAGAUUUUCCCACAUGUAUGGUCUUCAUAUGAUUUCCCUACAGUAUAACGUCUGAUAAACAAACAGGCCUA